ACACGUAAGGGGCAAGCGUUGUUCGGAAUUAUUGGGCGUAAAGGGCGCGUAGGCGGUUUUACAAGUCUGGUGUGAAAGAUCUCAGCUUAACUGAGGGACCGCGCUGGAAACUGUAAGACUAGAAUCUAGGAGGGGAAGCUGGAAUUCCUGGUGUAGGGGUGAAAUCUGUAGAUAUCCGGAAGAACACCGGUGGCGAAGGCGAGCUUCUGGCCAUAGAUUGACGCUCAGGCGCGAAAGCGUGGGGAGCGAACAGGAUUAGAAACCCUAGUAGUCC
RNAcentral lists this ribosomal RNA (274 nucleotides) under uncultured bacterium. RNAcentral describes it as "partial 16S ribosomal RNA". It matches the Rfam family "Bacterial small subunit ribosomal RNA", at positions 523 to 796 of the family's 1533-position model. The record is from RNAcentral.